This 255-nucleotide ribosomal RNA is filed under the name uncultured bacterium. Its description in RNAcentral is "partial 16S ribosomal RNA". It matches the Rfam family "Bacterial small subunit ribosomal RNA", at positions 524 to 776 of the family's 1533-position model. The record is from RNAcentral.
UACGGAGGGGGCUAGCGUUGUUCGGGAAUUACUGGGCGUAAAGCGCACGUAGGCGGCUUUGUAAGUUAGAGGUGAAAGCCCGGGGCUCAACUCCGGAAUUGCCUUUAAGACUGCAUCGCUAGAAUUGUGGAGAGGUAAGUGGAAUUCCGAGUGUAGAGGUGAAAUUCGUAGAUAUUCGGAAGAACACCAGUGGCGAAGGCGACUUACUGGACACAUAUUGACGCUGAGGUGCGAAAAGCGUGGGGAGCAAACAGG